Molecule: small RNA, 28 nt
Filed under: Bombyx mori (domestic silkworm)
Lineage: Eukaryota; Metazoa; Arthropoda; Insecta; Lepidoptera; Bombycidae
Description: ovarian small RNA-11092
Source: RNAcentral
ACAGAUGGAAGUAAAAUUGACGGAUUCA